AGAGUUUGAUCCUGGCUCAGAACGAACGCUGGCGGCGUGCUUAACACAUGCAAGUCGAACGCGAAAGGGACUUCGGUCCCGAGUAGAGUGGCGCACGGGUGAGUAACGCGUAAGUAAUCUACCCCCGCAUUCGGAAUAACUCGUCGAAAGGUGAGCUAAUACCGGAUACGUUUAUCUUGAUGCGAAUGAUGAUAAAGAAAGGUGGCCUCUUCAUGAAAGCUACUGUGCAGGGAUGAGCUUGCGUACCAUUAGCUAGUUGGUAGGGUAAUGGCCUACCAAGGCGACGAUGGUUAGCGGGUCUGAGAGGAUGAUCCGCCACACUGGAACUGGAACACGGACCAGACUCCUACGGGAGGCAGCAGUGAGGAAUAUUGCGCAAUGGGGGCAACCCUGACGCAGCGACGCCGCGUGGAUGAUGAAGGCCCUUGGGUCGUAAAAUCCUGUCAGAUGGAAAGAAAUGUAUGGGUGUUAAUAUCGCCUGUAUUUGACGGUACCAUCAAAGGAAGCACCGGCUAACUCCGUGCCAGCAGCCGCGGUAAUACGGAGGGUGCGAGCGUUGUUCGGAAUUACUGGGCGUAAAGCGCGCGUAGGCGGUUUGCUAAGUCAGAUGUGAAAGCCCUCGGCUUAACCGGGGACGUGCAUUUGAAACUGGCAGACUUGAGUACUGGAGGGGGUGGUGGAAUUCCCGGUGUAGAGGUGAAAUUCGUAGAUAUCGGGAGGAAUACCGGUGGCGAAGGCGACCACCUGGCCAGAUACUGACGCUGAGGUGCGAAAGCGUGGGGAGCAAACAGGAUUAGAUACCCUGGUAGUCCACGCCGUAAACGAUGAGAACUAGGUGUUGGGAUGGUUAAUCGUCUCAUUGCCGCAGCUAAC
Molecule: ribosomal RNA, 873 nt
Filed under: uncultured bacterium
Lineage: Bacteria
Description: bacterial SSU rRNA
Rfam family: Bacterial small subunit ribosomal RNA
Source: RNAcentral